GGCAAGGGAUCAAAGCCGCCUCUACCCUGAUGGUUCCAGAACAGCACUGGCUCUGCUAGGAUCUCUGCAAACAGAAAGGAGGCUCAUUGCCCAACUCAGAUUCAAUCCCAAGCAAAUGUUUCUGCUCAGCAGACCUAAAUCGUAUCCAAAAAACCUAACUGCAAGGGAGCCCUAGGAGAUGUGAUUUUUAACAUCCCAGCCUCUGCUCUAGCUGGUGAAGAAGGCAACCCACGGUGUUGGCGCACUUCCCUUGAGGAUUCCUAAGUACCAUCAAGGACCGGUCUGGAAAAUGGUGCAAUGCCAGCAACCUGAGCCAAAGGGCUGGAUUGACAAACGUUUACAUCCAUUUGGGCCAUACUCCUCAAGCUGAUAUCCCAGCUCACCAAAUCCAGAACUGUUUCUGCAGGAACCUAGAAAUACUGGACCUUCUCUCUCCUCCUGAUUCUACCCUUAGAACUUACAAACACGCCAGAGUUUAUUGUGCUAACUUGUAACUAUGUUAAAGCAACCUUGCGAAUCUUACUCACUAUCUGAUUCAGAUACCUAUGUUAUAAUUGAGUCUCUUCACUGGCAGUGAUGACUUAAAAAAAAACCCAGGCCCUUAGGAUUUCAGAAGCUAUGACUAAAAUAAGACAAUAUUGUGUUUUCAUAACUGCCCUACCUUUUUUAAAAAAAAUAAGGAGGGACACUUUCAUGCUCAAUUUCAUUCUUUUAUGAUGUAAUAGUAAUUGAUGCUCAGGAAAAAAACGAUCUACUCUAAAUGUUCUGCAUCAUUAAAGGCUAAAUUUUGUUUUAUUU
Equus caballus (horse) is the source of this 798-nucleotide non-coding RNA. The record is from RefSeq and is a predicted model, not a curated record. NCBI's taxonomy places the organism in Eukaryota, Metazoa, Chordata, Mammalia, Perissodactyla, Equidae.